RNAcentral lists this long non-coding RNA (1270 nucleotides) under Homo sapiens (human). RNAcentral's name for it is "HSALNT0298679". The record is from RNAcentral. Lineage: Eukaryota; Metazoa; Chordata; Mammalia; Primates; Hominidae.
AAGACGGGGCUCUUGCUUUGUUGCCCAGGUUGGUCUUAAAUCCUUGCCUCAGGUGAUUCUCCUGCCUCAGCUUCCCAAGUAGCUGGGAUUACAGACACAAGCCAUGGCGCCUGGCUUGACUGAUAUGUUGAGAGGGGAGAGGAUGAGUGUAGAGGAAGAGCUUAACAGUUUUUUUUGUUUGUUUGUUUUCCAAGAUGGAGUUUUGUUCUUGUUGCCCAGGCUGGAGGGCAGUGGCGCCAUCUUGGCUCACUGCAACCUCCGCCUCUACGUGACAGGCAUUUUACAUAUGUUUAUAUGUUACAGGCAUUUAAUAUAUAUUUAUGUGUGUUUACAUAGAUUUAUACAUAAUAUAUGAACAAUUACAGCAACCCAUCAAAGUAUAUAAAUGAAUGAUUUUAUAUCUGUUAAGUGAUAUACCUAGUUUCUUGAGAGAUUAAGAUGAAAUUUGGACCCAGAUCUUUGAACCCCAAGUCCAUUCUCUUUCUGCUAGGGCUAAAGAACAAAUUUUGUCAGGUCUCUGGAAUCUGUUUUCCAAAAUUCUCUGUCUUCUCUCCGCAACACAUUUAACCUGUUGAUUAUACCCAGUAUCUUUUUACCACUCUGUCUUGUAUUGCUGUAAUUGAAGAUGGCAUUACCACUGGAUUAUGUAAUAACCUCUUUGUUGGUCUGUCAGCCUUUUUAGUUCCUUAACACUCUUGCCACAACUGUCUAAAAAACAAAAGUUGAAUUCUUCAUCUCCUGCUUAAAAACUGGCUCUUUGAUAACUGGAUAUAGUCCCAACUCCCAGUCACAGUCUGACCCAUCUCCAGUCUUUCUGGCUUUGUCUCACCAUUUUCAUGAUCUUCAGCUCUAGUCUCAUGAAGCUACCGGAUUGUAUCCUUGUUCAGAAUGAUUUUUAGCCUUUCUUCUGCCUUCUUCUAUAAGGUUAAAACAAAAAAAGCAUUUCAAAGCCACCUCCUUUUUUAGACUUUCCUUUUUCCCAGUCUAAGUUACUUGUUUUCUCUCUUUAGCAUUUUAUCUGUAUAUCCCUUUAUAGGACUUAAUUCAUUCUGUCCUUGUGUUUUGGUUAUUUUUGGUAAAGAACCUUGAUUUUUCUUUCUUUAUGGCAUCUGACAUGGUGACUUGGCACCCUCUAAAUUACCAAAUGGACCCUUUUAUAAACACGAUUGGCCUUUUUUCUUUUCUUUUUCUUUUUUUUUUUUUUUUUUUUUGAGACAGAGUUUUGCUUUUGUUGUCCAGGCUGGAGUGCAGUGGUGCAAUCUCAGCUCAC